Molecule: long non-coding RNA, 1525 nt
Organism: Parus major (Great Tit)
Lineage: Eukaryota; Metazoa; Chordata; Aves; Passeriformes; Paridae
Exons: 2
Source: RefSeq, a predicted model, not a curated record
CGGGAGGCUCCCGCCCCGCUUCCCUCCCGGGGAAGGCAGCGUCGGCAAUCCGGCUGGAAUCCGGCUGGAAUACGUGUGUAGUCCGGCUGGACUCCGGCUAGAAUACGUGUGCAAUCCGGCUGGAAUACGUGUGCAAUCCGGCUGGAAUCCGGCUGCAAUACGCUCCCCGAGCACGGCCCCAGCGCGGGCUCGUUACCCGUGCGCACGCCAGUUCACACAGCCAAGCGCUAUUCCCGCGGCUCUCCGCGUUUUAUUCCGGGUCGCGGCAAGCAGGGAGCCGGGCGGUGGCCACGGAAGGCUCCCCGGUCACCAGAACGGCUCAGUUCUGCUCUCCUUCCGAGGCUGGGUUCCGUUUUGAGUAGGCGGUCAAUGAGUCGGUGGUCGCGAUCUCCCACUGCCGGAAUGACCUUUCCCCCAGGUACUCCUGACUUCACUCCUGGCGUGACUCCUGUCAUCUAGACAGCCCAUUCAUCCUGGGAUUGUCUUCCCUUUCCUUGUAACAAAGGAUUAGCAGAGCAUACAGUGUUCACAGUGCAACUGCUUAAUCCUAACUGUGCAGCUAUAGCUAGGCUAACCACAAAAAAAAAAAAAGAUGCAAAGUUUGGUUCAAGUCUUCAUGGGCUCGAUAGCAACAGUGCCUGGCCUGUACUAUUCUUUACUGGAUGUCUUAACUUCCCUGCCAGCCCUGGUUAGUCUGACAGCCAAGGGCACUACAGCUCCCAGCACAACAGCUUUUUCAUCUAUGCCCUUCCUGUGUGUCCUCCAUGUUCUCCUUUCUUCUAAUCCUUAAAAAAUUUCCUCUUAUUUCCUCUUCUGUUAUUUCUGUAUGUUUUUUUUUUUUUUUUAAGCCUCGUUGCUCACAGUUUCCCAUCCUUUCCCCUUCUCCUUCAUCUCCCAAGCUGUAGGAAAAACUGUCUCUGCCUGUCCCAGCCACCUCCCUGCCAAGUCCUUAGCUGGUCAGAGGUCAGCUUUGAAGUUCCCAUCUCUAAUCAGUGCAACAACAUGUGCUGAGCCGGCACCAAGAACCCCUCAGAGAAUCUGCUGAUUAUUCUUCUUGUUGUGGGUACAUACAGACAAAGAAACUUGCCACAGUUUUCAAAGAACCAACUCCUUAAUGAGUUCAUACUAUUAACAGUAAUUGGAGGUUGUAUAAACAGGUCCCCAGAGUUAGAACAGCCCUGAUGCACAGGGGACACUGAGGCCUGAAAUGUCACAUGUGAAUGUUUCUCUGAGGCAUCUGAUGUCCAAAAUGCUGUGGAAAGCUGAAGAGCCCUCACAUGAACUGCAGAGACCAAUAUGUCAGAGAUGUGAGCUUUGUGUCUGAAAGCUGUCCCCCAAAGUGGUGCAUUCUGAGGCUCAGUUUGGGCUUUAAACAAGUUUGGUCUAACAUCACCAAAUACCUGAUAGAUGUUGGUUAUUUUUGCUCAACAUCCCCAUCCCCAGAAAACAAACCAAAUUAAUAAAAAAAAACCCCAUAAAACUCAAAUACCAAACUGAAUGUCUUAACAAAAAAAAAAAAAAAAAA